AUUGAACGCUGGCGGCAGGCCUAACACAUGCAAGUCGAGCGGAUGAAGGGAGCUUGCUCCUGGAUUCAGCGGCGGACGGGUGAGUAAUGCCUAGGAAUCUGCCUGGUAGUGGGGGAUAACGUCCGGAAACGGGCGCUAAUACCGCAUACGUCCUGAGGGAGAAAGUGGGGGAUCUUCGGACCUCACGCUAUCAGAUGAGCCUAGGUCGGAUUAGCUAGUUGGUGGGGUAAAGGCCUACCAAGGCGACGAUCCGUAACUGGUCUGAGAGGAUGAUCAGUCACACUGGAACUGAGACACGGUCCAGACUCCUACGGGAGGCAGCAGUGGGGAAUAUUGGACAAUGGGCGAAAGCCUGAUCCAGCCAUGCCGCGUGUGUGAAGAAGGUCUUCGGAUUGUAAAGCACUUUAAGUUGGGAGGAAGGGCAGUAAGUUAAUACCUUGCUGUUUUGACGUUACCAACAUAAUAAGCACCGGCUAACUUCGUG
RNAcentral lists this ribosomal RNA (484 nucleotides) under uncultured bacterium. RNAcentral's name for it is "partial 16S ribosomal RNA". It matches the Rfam family "Bacterial small subunit ribosomal RNA", at positions 30 to 507 of the family's 1533-position model. The record is from RNAcentral.